UACGAAGGGGGCUAGCGUUGUUCGGAAUUACUGGGCGUAAAGCGCACGUAGGCGGAUCGAUCAGUCAGGGGUGAAAUCCCAGGGCUCAACCCUGGAACUGCCUUUGAUACUGUCGAUCUGGAGUAUGGAAGAGGUGAGUGGAAUUCCGAGUGUAGAGGUGAAAUUCGUAGAUAUUGGGAAGAACACCGGUGGCGAAGGCGGCUCACUGGCUCAUUACUGACGCUCAGGCGCGAUAGCGUGGGGAUCAAACAGG
RNAcentral lists this ribosomal RNA (253 nucleotides) under uncultured bacterium. RNAcentral's name for it is "partial 16S ribosomal RNA". It matches the Rfam family "Bacterial small subunit ribosomal RNA", at positions 524 to 776 of the family's 1533-position model. The record is from RNAcentral.